AUUGAACGCUGGCGGCAGGCCUAACACAUGCAAGUCGAACGGUAACAGGAAGCAGCUUGCUGCUUCGCUGACGAGUGGCGGACGGGUGAGUAAUGUCUGGGAAGCUGCCUGAUGGAGGGGGAUAACUACUGGAAACGGUAGCUAAUACCGCAUAAUGUCGCAAGACCAAAGAGGGGGACCUUCGGGCCUCUUGCCCUCGGAUGUGCCCAGAUGGGAUUAGCUUGUUGGUGGGGUAACGGCUCACCAAGGCGACGAUCCCUAGCUGGUCUGAGAGGAUGACCAGCCACACUGGAACUGAGACACGGUCCAGACUCCUACGGGAGGCAGCAGUGGGGAAUAUUGCACAAUGGGCGCAAGCCUGAUGCAGCCAUGCCGCGUGUAUGAAGAAGGCCUUCGGGUUGUAAAGUACUUUCAGCGGGGAGGAAGGGAGUAAAGUUAAUACCUUUGCUCAUUGACGUUACCCGCAGAAGAAGCACCGGCUAACUCCGUG
RNAcentral lists this ribosomal RNA (490 nucleotides) under uncultured bacterium. RNAcentral's name for it is "partial 16S ribosomal RNA". It matches the Rfam family "Bacterial small subunit ribosomal RNA", at positions 30 to 507 of the family's 1533-position model. The record is from RNAcentral.